GGACUACUGGGGUUUCUAAUCCUGUUUGCUCCCCACGCUCUCGCGCCUCAGCGUCAGUGUCUGUCCAGGUAGCCGCCUUCGCCACUGGUGUUCCUUCCGAUAUCUACGCAUUUCACCGCUACACCGGAAAUUCCACUACCCUCUACAGCACUCUAGCAAGCCAGUAUCACAUGCAGUUCCUAGGUUAAGCCCAGGGAUUUCACAUAUAACUUAACUUACCGCCUACGCGCCCUUUACGCCCAGUAAUUCCGAUUAACGCUCGCACCCUCUGUAUUACCGCGGCUGCUGGCAC
This 292-nucleotide ribosomal RNA is filed under the name uncultured bacterium. RNAcentral's name for it is "partial 16S ribosomal RNA". The record is from RNAcentral.